GGGAUAACUAGGAGUCGCGAGUCCGGGUCCAUGACCCAAUCAACAACGUGGAUAAGGCUUAACUGCAAACAAUAAUUACGCUCUCGUUGCUUACUUAGCAGUGUGUCCGCUUACCGCGAGCCUGUAGUGGUAAACCGGGCGUCGACUAAUCGGCUACCGAACCCACGGUUUGCCAAAGCCUUAGGGGAAGGAAAUAACACCUGUGCUAGCGUAAAUGUAUCCUGUCUCAGGGAGCCCCAUACGCGAAUCCAAAUCUGAGGCUACACUCGUAGAAGCUUUUACUGGUCUGCUUUCGGACAGGUUCGACUCCCCUC
This 314-nucleotide transfer-messenger RNA is filed under the name Clostridiales bacterium. It matches the Rfam family "transfer-messenger RNA". Rfam says of the family: Bacterial tmRNA, also known as 10Sa RNA or SsrA, is named for its dual tRNA and mRNA-like properties. Lineage: Bacteria; Bacillati; Bacillota; Clostridia; Eubacteriales. The record is from RNAcentral.